Molecule: ribosomal RNA, 216 nt
Filed under: Glomeromycotina sp.
Lineage: Eukaryota; Fungi; Glomeromycota
Description: partial small subunit ribosomal RNA
Rfam family: Eukaryotic small subunit ribosomal RNA (bases 40-216)
Source: RNAcentral
GGGUCAGUAGGUUGGUCGUGCCACCGGUACGUACUGGUCUCACUGAUUACUCCUUCCUGAAGAACCGUAAUGCCAUUAAUUUGGUGUUGCGGGGAAACAGGACUGUUACUUUGAAAAAAUUAGAGUGUUUAAAGCAAGCUAACGCCUGAAUACAUUAGCAUGGAAUAAUGAAAUAGGACGAUCGAUCCUAUUUUGUUGGUUUCUAGGAUUGACGUA